UGCCCAAUCCACACCAGAAUUGUCUCUUUUCCCAGAACAGCCAAAACAUUACUUCUUGCCCCCUCUCUCUCUCUCUCUCUCUCCCUCCCUCUGCAACCUAUUCCUCCUGUCUGUCCACAAACUGUUUGUUGUUUUGCCCAAAGAAAGAAAAAACAGAGAGUUUGGGGAAGCUUGUUGGUGGAGGAGGAGGAGGAGGAAAGGAAUUUUCCGGUCUGGGAGUAGUGAGGGGGCUCCCAGGCUUUCAAAACCACUCAUCUUCCUCAUAUUGUUCUUCUCUCCUUCACCAUCCUUGGUUUUCCCCAUCAUUGGAUGGAUUAGAUUGUUGGGUUCUCCAUAUUGAGCUUGAAGCUCAACUACCCAGAUCUGCUCCAGCUUCUGAAAGUUUGGGAGAUCUUUGGCUAUUUGGGCCUCUGUAUCUAGACUUGCUUUCAUUUGAUUGCAUUGAAACAUUCAUUUGUUUCAUCAGCAGCUCAUAUUAUAGCUGAAAGAAGCCAAUCGUUUUCUUUUUUUUCCAUUUACCCCAUUGAGCAUCAACUGCACCUUUGAAUGCGAGCAGUUUGGGUGUAUGUAGCAUUGGUUGCUUUUCUUGAAACCGUUUACAUAGAGGAAGAACAAGAAGCACUUGCUACCAGCAUCUUGUGAUUCUGGAUUGGCUAAGCCAACUACCCACAAAAAAGUUUUGUCGCUUGAGGUGUCAACAGAUAGAGAAGAAGCUCUCCGUUUAUUUUAGUCAAGACUUUCAACGACGAGGCCCACUGGUGGGUUCGGUGGGCUUCAUCAGACAAACAAGAACCCACAAUUUUGAAGAUCCCUCUUGGCCAUUCUUUCAUGAAAUUAUAGUGCGUUGAAGAACGAGAAGAUAAUUCUGUUUCCACUUGCAAAGUACCGUUCCUUUCCCUCUAUUGGGUCCUCUACUCACCUUCCUUUAUCACGUAUUAUACCGAAAUUGAUUUUGACUCAUUUGGAAUUUCAUCUUUUCUGAUGCUACUUUACUUCUUGUUCACUUGCCUCUCCUUCAUCCUCUUUUUGAAGUCUCUCCCUCUCAAAUCUCUCCCUGCAUGGGCAAGUGAGAUGUCAUUGUUGUCACUCUGGAGCUAUCAGGAGUUCUCUUCUUUCCGCACUUCUAGUUUGAUGAAUAGCUUUUGUAAAAGCUGUAUUCCUCAUACACGCUCUAAGAUGUCCUUCAAGAAGAUUAAUCUUUCUUCCAGAGUAGAUAAUGUAGCGACCGGAGAGAUGUUGGUAUUAGAUUUGCCCGAAUUGGUCUUAGAAUGCAUCCUGGAGAGGCUUCCACCAGCUGAACUUUUUAACAUGGCUGGUGUGUGUAGUUCUUUGAGGAAUAGGUGUGUAAGUGAUCACCUUUGGGAAAGGCACAUGAAGCAAAAAUGGGGCAGAGUCAUUGGCCCAGCUGCAUAUCGGGAGUGGAAGUGGUAUAUCGCUAGUAGGAGGGAGAUUUGCAAUCUCAAACAAGGCAAACAAAGGGGGCUUUGGAGGCUCCUGUUUACUGUUUGGCCUUUAUCAUGGACUAAAUCAAAACUUGAUAACAGUGAAAAGCAGAGGAUUCCCCUUCCAACCGAUUCAAUCAUGUCUUGGUAUCUUGCUCUUGAGACUGGCAAGUUCUGCUUCCCUGCUCAGGUUUACAACCGUGAGAAUGGUCAUGUGGGAUUUAUGUUGUCUUGCUACGAUGCUGAGCUUAGUUAUGACGCUCAAACCGACACCUUCCAAGCCAGGUACCCACCUCAUGGAAGGAGAGCGGGUGCAAUAGAAAGUAAUGUCACAUGGGAGAGACUAAGGGCACAACCUGUUGAUACUCCUCCACAUGAUCUUCAUAUUUCUGACUGUCUGAAUGACCUACAUCCUGGUGACCACAUUGAAAUUCAGUGGAGGAGAAACAAAGAAUUUCCUUAUGGUUGGUGGUAUGGUGUUGUUGGUCACUUGGAUUCAUGUGAUGGCAAUGUGAACUACUGCCGGUGUCACAACAGUGACACGGUGAUGCUGGAGUUCAGACAGUAUGCCCCAGGUUCGCGGUGGAGACAUACGGCCAUAAAUAGGAGAAACCAUAGGGAGGAGGGCAAUGAAGCAGACGGUUUUUACGGAGGAAUCAGAAAGCUUAAAAGCGAGAGAGAGAUUUCAAUGUGGAAGAGUCUGUGGCCAACGGAAGUACUGGAGUAGGUUCGGAUGAAGUCUACUGGUGCAGCUAAUUAAUCUGAAGACUCCCCGAUUCGAAAGCACCCAUUUGGAAAAGGGCGGAUUGGCGGAGUCCAGUGGCUCGACCGGCGGUUUUACAGGUGCUCGAGAUGUUUCUUGCUCAUUUUGCUGAUUUUUCCUCCCCUUCAAGUCAGUGGACCUCCGCGGACUCUCAGCUUUGAAGCCCUGCAAAUUGUAUAGGAGAUCAUGAAAAUGAACUAACCCUGAAUGGUGAGAGCGACUGAGUCUGCCCAUGAUCGUUAGCCUGCCUCGUCCUUCUUGCGCUGCUGUCUUCCUUGACAUUCUCCAAUGCCACCAUGAACGGGUCGAAAUCAUCAUUCCACAGGCUCUUGAACUGGAAGGGGACCUUAAAGCCUGAUCUCGGGGACCUCGACGAAGGUGACCCAAUAGGACUCUGAUUUCCGCUCUUGCCCCCAUAAUAGGAACAAGGUGGAGGCUUCAAAGGCAUCAAUUUCCCAUCACAGAAGAGCUCAUCAGCAAAAGCCAUUGAAGGGAGUGAGUCACCCCCCAUUGGCCUUGCUUUCUUAUGGAGUGGGGACUCGAGGUCCUGGCUCGCGAUAAACUCGCCCGCAUCGAAAACAUGCCCCCAACUCGCAUUGAACUCGAAGUCCAGAUCAGAAUCAGAGCUUGUCUGCUCACAUGACCCUAUCGGGUCUAAUUUUCCGGCAUCAAGAUUAUAUGGAGGAUAUGCAUUCUCUCUGCAGGGACUAGCCGAUGCGCUGUAGAACAGUGAGACAUUGCUCAUUCUCAGUGCAUCAGGACUGGUGGCUGCACUCACAUAGGAAAAACUUGAAUCAUAUGGAGAAAAUGAUGCCAUUGAUUUGAGUGUUCUCAGGAAUUUCUUUUGCUCCUGAAAAUCCAGAAAAUGUUGCGGUGAUAUAUAAGGAUCAUUUCGUGCUUUACUGACAAAACAAUGAUCAAAGCUUAGGCCUAAUUGACGGCUAAAAAAAUCGGACAUUUCGGGUCAAUUCACGGGACUCGGAAGCAUAAGUUUAUUAUUAUUCACUUUCUUCAGUGACUGAAUAUUUGUCUCAUUCUGAGGGUUGGUCAGUUUUGGUUAUUGUAUAUGGAACACGAUUCCUUUGA
This is an RNA transcript of Syzygium oleosum, 3291 nucleotides long. It is a transcript of the gene named F-box protein At2g26850, with no coding region annotated. NCBI's taxonomy places the organism in Eukaryota, Viridiplantae, Streptophyta, Magnoliopsida, Myrtales, Myrtaceae. The record is from RefSeq and is a predicted model, not a curated record. The transcript is spliced from 7 exons.